RNAcentral lists this ribosomal RNA (1396 nucleotides) under uncultured bacterium. Its description in RNAcentral is "bacterial SSU rRNA". It matches the Rfam family "Bacterial small subunit ribosomal RNA". The record is from RNAcentral.
AGAGUUUGAUCCUGGCUCAGGAUGAACGCUAGCGGCAGGCUUAACACAUGCAAGUCGAGGGGCAGCAUAAUGGAUAGCAAUAUCUAUGGUGGCGACCGGCGCACGGGUGCGUAAUGCGUAUGCAACCUACCUUUAACAGGGGGAUAACACUGAGAAAUUGGUACUAAUACCCCAUAAUAUCAUAGAAGGCAUCUUUUAUGGUUGAAAAUUCCGAUGGUUAGAGAUGGGCAUGCGUUGUAUUAGCUAGUUGGUGGGGUAACGGCUCACCAAGGCGACGAUACAUAGGGGGACUGAGAGGUUAACCCCCCACACUGGUACUGAGACACGGACCAGACUCCUACGGGAGGCAGCAGUGAGGAAUAUUGGUCAAUGGACGCAAGUCUGAACCAGCCAUGCCGCGUGCAGGAUGACGGCUCUAUGAGUUGUAAACUGCUUUUGUACGAGGGUAAACGCAGAUACGUGUAUCUGUCUGAAAGUAUCGUACGAAUAAGGAUCGGCUAACUACGUGCCAGCAGCCGCGGUAAUACGUAGGUGGCAAGCGUUGUCCGGAUUUACUGGGUGUAAAGGGCGUGCAGCCGGGCAUGCAAGUCAGAUGUGAAAUCUCAGGGCUUAACCCUGAAACUGCAUUUGAAACUGUAUGUCUUGAGUGCCGGAGAGGUAAUCGGAAUUCCUUGUGUAGCGGUGAAAUGCGUAGAUAUAAGGAAGAACACCAGUGGCGAAGGCGGAUUACUGGACGGUAACUGACGGUGAGGCGCGAAAGCGUGGGGAGCGAACAGGAUUAGAUACCCUGGUAGUCCACACAGUAAACGAUGAAUACUCGCUGUUGGCGAUACACAGUCAGCGGCCAAGCGAAAGCAUUAAGUAUUCCACCUGGGGAGUACGCCGGCAACGGUGAAACUCAAAGGAAUUGACGGGGGCCCGCACAAGCGGAGGAACAUGUGGUUUAAUUCGAUGAUACGCGAGGAACCUUACCCGGGCUUAAAUUGCAGCGGAAUGUAGUGGAAACAUUACAGCCUUCGGGCCGCUGUGAAGGUGCUGCAUGGUUGUCGUCAGCUCGUGCCGUGAGGUGUCGGCUUAAGUGCCAUAACGAGCGCAACCCUUAUCUAUAGUUACUAUCAGGUCAUGCUGAGGACUCUAUGGAGACUGCCGUCGUAAGAUGUGAGGAAGGUGGGGAUGACGUCAAAUCAGCACGGCCCUUACGUCCGGGGCUACACACGUGUUACAAUGGGGGGUACAGAAGGCAGCUACCUGGCGACAGGAUGCUAAUCCCUAAAACCUCUCUCAGUUCGGAUUGGAGUCUGCAACCCGACUCCAUGAAGCUGGAUUCGCUAGUAAUCGCGCAUCAGCCACGGCGCGGUGAAUACGUUCCCGGGCCUUGCACUCACCGCCCGUCAAG